Molecule: ribosomal RNA, 253 nt
Filed under: uncultured bacterium
Lineage: Bacteria
Description: partial 16S ribosomal RNA
Rfam family: Bacterial small subunit ribosomal RNA
Source: RNAcentral
UACGUAGGGGGCAAGCGUUGUCCGGAAUCAUUGGGCGUAAAGCGCGCGUAGGCGGUCCGGUAAGUCCGCUGUGAAAGUCGGGGGCUCAACCCUCGGAUGCCGGUGGAUACUGUCGGGCUUGAGUACGGAAGAGGCGAGUGGAAUUCCUGGUGUAGCGGUGAAAUGCGCAGAUAUCAGGAGGAACACCAAUUGCGAAGGCAGCCCGCUGGGACGUUACUGACGCUGAGACGCGAAAGCGUGGGGAGCAAACAGG